Solea senegalensis (Senegalese sole) is the source of this 443-nucleotide long non-coding RNA. RefSeq lists it as uncharacterized. The transcript has 3 exons. NCBI's taxonomy places the organism in Eukaryota, Metazoa, Chordata, Actinopteri, Pleuronectiformes, Soleidae. The record is from RefSeq and is a predicted model, not a curated record.
UUUUUCUUCUUUUUUUUUUUUCUGGCAAAUGGAAGAGCAAGAGGAGGUGCAGAUUUCAGCUAGUGAAAAAUACAAGAUGAAGUAAAGAGAAGAAGAAAAGAAGGAGGAGAGGGAAAAGGCAAGAGAGAAAGACUUCUCCCCCAUCUCCCUCUUCCUCACCCUCAUCCCCUUCUCUGCCAAUGACUUUUACCUCAGAAACAGCGGCGGGACCAACUUCAAAAGGCGGUCAGGAGGGAACUGGAGUGUGAAAUCUGAGAGCAACAGCAAGAUGAGAGGCUGACCGGCGCUCUGUUUGCUGUUCUGAGCAGGAGCUGCCAGGACUGCAGGCUAGAAGCUCCCGAUGACACCUGGCAUUCAUCUGUAAGUGCUGACACCGCGUACGCUUAGAGAUCAUGGAAGACUGCUGCUGAAGUCUUGAAGGCCCAUGAUGUGAUAUGCAGCAG